Molecule: ribosomal RNA, 433 nt
Filed under: uncultured bacterium
Lineage: Bacteria
Description: bacterial SSU rRNA
Rfam family: Bacterial small subunit ribosomal RNA
Source: RNAcentral
UGGAGGCAGCAGUGGGGAAUUUUCCACAAUGGGCGAAAGCCUGAUGGAGCAAUACCGCGUGAAGGAUGACGGCCCUCGGGUUGUAAACUUCUUUUAUAUGUGAAGAUUAUGACGGUAACAUAUGAAUAAGCAUCGGCUAACUACGUGCCAGCAGCCGCGGUAUACGUAGGAUGCAAGCGUUAUCCGGAAUUAUUGGGCGUAAAGAGUGUGUAGGUGGCGUGUUAAGUCAAAUGUUAAAUCUCGGGGCUCAACUCAGAGGCUGCAUUUGAUACUGGCAUGCUUGAGGUAUGGAGAGGUAAGCGGAAUUAGUAGUGUAGCAGUGAAAUGCGUAGAUAUUACUAGGAACACCAAUGGCGAAGGCAGCUUACUGGCCAUAUUCUGACGCUGAGACACGAAAGCGUGGGGAGCGAACGGGAUUAGAUACCCCGGUAGA